Molecule: long non-coding RNA, 812 nt
Organism: Stegostoma tigrinum
Lineage: Eukaryota; Metazoa; Chordata; Chondrichthyes; Orectolobiformes; Stegostomatidae
Exons: 3
Source: RefSeq, a predicted model, not a curated record
AAUCAGAGUACAUGCGUCACUCAACAGAGGAUUAGUGGUUCUGGCAGCAGACUGGAGACUUCAGAUUAAACAGGACAGAGAAUUUCAAGAGCGGGAGGACUGGCUGUGCUUAACUGCCUGUAUAACAAGUUAAACAAUGACUGAAGUCAGUAAUGCUUUCUCAGUGCCUGUGCACUGCCCCAAAAGCCCUUGGUCAAUUUUGGUGAAAGACGCUCAACGAAGACAGGAAUGGGUGAAGACAUUUUGUACAGUGUAUGAAGAAAGUGUGUUUUGCUUCACGACUGGCUGUUUAAUGAAUCAAAUUGCAUCUGGGACCCAAUGCCGAGCGCUUGCCUUUCAUAUAAGAAAAUGUUAGGGUCUAGGCUAGCUUCUUAAAGUAUUUUGAGGGGCUUUGGUCUGUUCCAUAACAGUAUUCACUUUCUUUUCAAGUAUAUGUAAGCAAAUGGGAGCAUUUUGAAGUAAUGAUUUUUGAAGAUGUUUACUGGUAUUAAAGUGGCACACACAUCUAACCAUCUCAAGGUCUCAGAGACAAUUUUAAAUUAAUUUGCCGAGAUUAACUCAUGAAGAAUACUGCAGUCAAAUUGUGACUUUGUGAGACUGCAGCAUGUCUUCAGGAUCAGGAAAACCAAGUUUUAAGAAAUCACGUGCCACACUUGGGCAAGGGUAAAAUGAGCCAUUUGCUGAUCUUUGCCUAAUGACAAAGCAACGACACCGGGCUAUUCAUUUAUUACACACUCAGUUAGGCUAUCAACAAUGACUUGACCAUCAUUGCUAAGAAAUGGCCUCAGUUUGUAAUAUGUAUUUCUGAAAAA